AUGACGCCCUAGAUUGUUCUGUUACACAAGGGGUACCAAAGUCCACUCUGAGCUUUUCCUCUGGGAACAGAUCCCAGAUUAUUCCAGACUUAAGACAUGGAGAUAUAUCUUGCUAGAGCCCCCAGUAUAUAUUCAGUGUGUCCUCUGAAGUAACAACCAUCCCAUCUGGCUGAGAAGUGAUGGACACGGCUCCUUAACCACACUGUACCCUCUGUUCUUGGCACCUCUCUACCAGAAAGAUAUCGACAAAUUGGAUGGAAUUCAGAGAACAGUAAGAAAAAUGAUUAAAGAGAUGGAGGCAGUGACUUAUGAGGAAAGAUGAAAAGGACUAAAUCUGUAUAGCUUGGCAAAGCAACAACUGAGGUAGCGUAUGAAAACUGUCUACAAGCAUUUGAAGAAUAUAAACACCAAGGGAAGAGAGGGAACUUUUUAGAAUGGUCUGGGGAAUAAGCAGAUUAAGAGGACAGAAUUGAAGAAAGGAGAGAGAUAUGCUAAGUUGGGGGCGGGGGCGUUUUCUCAUCAAUCGUAAAUUUUGAAAAAUAACAAAAUUAAGUCUGGAGAGAAAGAGUUGCAUCUCAUGCUUUUAGGUUACAAUCAGUGUUGACCUGCACUGAGAAAAUGUGACUUCCUAUUAUCCUUCUCAAAGUUAUUGCUGCAGAGGAAAGAAGCAUACAUCUUUUACCCACCAGGAAACCCCCAAAGCACCUAUUACCAUAAUAGCCAUGGGAAACAGAAGGCACCUCAAAUAAAGGUGGGGAAAAGAAUGAAAGAAAUGGCUUUGGCCUGUGCCUGUUUGACCUCUGAGAGAUACUUUUUGCAAGAAAUUGUUAAGUUUUGGCCCAAAAAGUGGUCGGUCUUUUAUCCUUCCUUGUG
This 873-nucleotide non-coding RNA is filed under the name Pan troglodytes (chimpanzee). Lineage: Eukaryota; Metazoa; Chordata; Mammalia; Primates; Hominidae. The record is from RNAcentral.